AGAUCGAACUGAAGAGUUUGAUCCUGGCUCAGAUUGAACGCUGGCGGCAUGCCUUACACAUGCAAGUCGAACGGUAACAGGUUAAGCUGACGAGUGGCGAACGGGUGAGUAAUAUAUCGGAACGUGCCCA
Molecule: ribosomal RNA, 130 nt
Filed under: Vitreoscilla sp.
Lineage: Bacteria; Pseudomonadati; Pseudomonadota; Betaproteobacteria; Neisseriales; Neisseriaceae
Description: partial 16S ribosomal RNA
Rfam family: Bacterial small subunit ribosomal RNA
Source: RNAcentral